UCGCAUCGAUGAAGAACGCAGCGAAAUGCGAUAAGUAAUGUGAAUUGCAGAAUUCAGUGAAUCAUCGAAUCUUUGAACGCACCUUGCGCUCCUUGGUAUUCCGAGGAGCAUGCCUGUUUGAGUGUCAUUAAAUUCUCAACCCAUCCAACUUUGAUGUUUGGUAUGUGGCUUGGAUGUGGGGGUCAUUGCAGGCCUUUGUAAUAAAGGUCAGCUCCCCUGAAAUGCAUUAGCGGAAC
RNAcentral lists this ribosomal RNA (236 nucleotides) under Cystolepiota cystidiosa. Its description in RNAcentral is "5.8S ribosomal RNA". The stretch from base 1 to 127 matches the Rfam family "5.8S ribosomal RNA", at positions 28 to 154 of the family's 154-position model. Rfam says of the family: 5.8S ribosomal RNA (5.8S rRNA) is a component of the large subunit of the eukaryotic ribosome. It is transcribed by RNA polymerase I as part of the 45S precursor that also contains 18S and 28S rRNA. The record is from RNAcentral. Lineage: Eukaryota; Fungi; Basidiomycota; Agaricomycetes; Agaricales; Agaricaceae.